UACAGAGGGUGCGAGCGUUGUCCGGAAUCACUGGGCGUAAAGGGCGCGUAGGUGGUGGCUUAAGCGUGCGGUGAAAGCUCGGAGCUCAACUCCGAGUCGGCCGUGCGAACUGGGCUCACUGGAGCAUAGUAGAGGCAGGUGGAAUUCCGGGUGUAGCGGUGGAAUGCGUAGAGAUCCGGAAGAACACCGGUGGCGAAGGCGGCCUGCUGGGCUAUGGCUGACACUGAGGAGCGAAAGCCAGGGGAGCAAACGGG
This 254-nucleotide ribosomal RNA is filed under the name uncultured bacterium. RNAcentral's name for it is "partial 16S ribosomal RNA". It matches the Rfam family "Bacterial small subunit ribosomal RNA", at positions 524 to 776 of the family's 1533-position model. The record is from RNAcentral.